RNAcentral lists this long non-coding RNA (362 nucleotides) under Rattus norvegicus (Norway rat). RNAcentral's name for it is "long non-coding RNA NONRATT008397". The record is from RNAcentral. Lineage: Eukaryota; Metazoa; Chordata; Mammalia; Rodentia; Muridae.
UGGGUACACGUAGUUUCUUCCAUUUUAUUUGUAGUCAACUAAUACACAGAGAACUAUUUUAGUGCAGACCAAUAUUCCGCGAAGUUGGGCUUUUCAUUAAGAUCUAGGGAAAGCAGUUUUUUAGAUUGAAAGAAUGCUCAGAGUCCUCUCUGGGGGCAGAUUCUUCCUGAAAGGGGGCCUGGAUCCUUCCAACAUUUUAAGUGAACAGAAUUGCUGGACAUUAUUUUCUUGCACUAAACCUGAUGGACUAGCAAGAGACCCAGCAAUGAAGGUGGGUUCUAGUCCUUCUUCCAGGCAGCACUUGAUGGAGGCCAGGCCACUGACCCCAGCUCCCACAAUUGCAACUCGCUUCACCAUGUUUU